AGCGAACGCUGGCGGCAGGCUUAACACAUGCAAGUCGAGCGGGCAUCCUUGUGGUGUCAGCGGCAGACGGGUGAGUAACGCGUGGGAACGUGCCCUUCGGUUCGGAAUAACUCAGGGAAACUUGAGCUAAUACCGGAUACGUGCGAGAGCAGAAAGGUUUAUCUGCCGAAGGAUCGGCCCGCGUCUGAUUAGCUAGUUGGUGAGGUUAUGGCUCACCAAGGCGACGAUCAGUAGCUGGUCUGAGAGGAUGAUCAGCCACACUGGGACUGAGACACGGCCCAGACUCCUACGGGAGGCAGCAGUGGGGAAUAUUGGAAAAUGGGGGCAACCCUGAUCCAGCCAUGCCGCGUGAGUGAUGACGGCCUUAGGGUUGUAAAGCUCUUUUCUCCGGGACGAUAAUGACGGUACCGGAGGAAUAAGCCCCGGCUAACUUCGUG
This 437-nucleotide ribosomal RNA is filed under the name uncultured bacterium. Its description in RNAcentral is "partial 16S ribosomal RNA". It matches the Rfam family "Bacterial small subunit ribosomal RNA", at positions 29 to 507 of the family's 1533-position model. The record is from RNAcentral.